AAUAGAAUCUGUGCAGAGGGCCUU
This 24-nucleotide non-coding RNA is filed under the name Cricetulus griseus (Chinese hamster). The record is from RNAcentral. Lineage: Eukaryota; Metazoa; Chordata; Mammalia; Rodentia; Cricetidae.